AUGGCAUUGGAGGCCGCGGUGCUCUCCCGCGCUGCUGCUGGUCUCUUCGGUCGCUGCGCCAUGGCCGGGGCGGGAGGAGCUUGGAAUGGUCUCUUCGGUGGGAGCGAAGGGCUGGCGGGCUUGGACGGCGGGGACUGGGACGCCGCCGUCGCGGCGGCGUGCUCGUCGAUGCUGCUGCCUCCAGCUGCGUUCCAGGACCUGGAUAUCUCCGCUACUGCGCCGCAGGAGGAGUCCGGAGGUCGCGGCGAGAUGAGCGCGGCCGGCGUGGGUCAGGACGAUGCUGCGCCGGUGACGGCGGCGGCGACGGGGCGGAGGAAGCGGCGGCGGACGAGGACGGCCAAGAACUCGGAGGAGGUGGAGAGCCAGCGGAUGACCCACAUUGCCGUCGAGCGCAACCGCCGCAAGCAGAUGAACGAGUACCUCGCCGCGCUCCGCUCCCUCAUGCCGCCCUCCUACGCGCUAAGGGGUGAUCAGGCGUCUAUCGUCGGAGGUGCGAUCAACUUCGUCAAGGAGCUGGAGCAGCUGCUCCAGACCCUGGAGACGCAGAGGCAGACACGGGAACGCGCGGCCGUCGACGGCGGGGAAGCGCAGCCACCGCUGUUCGCCAACUUCUUCACCUUCCCGCAGUACUCAAUGAGCGUUACCUCGGCACCGGCGCCUCCUCCGGCGAACAACGACGAGGGUGCCGACGGCUGCGCCGAGGCGGAGGCGUCCGGAUCAAAGCCGUCGGCGGUGGCGGACGUGGAGGUGACCAUGGUGGAGAGCCACGCCAACCUGCGGAUGCUGUCCCGGCGGCGGCCGAGGCAGCUGCUGCGGCUGCUGGUGGGGCUGCAGGGACACCGGCUCACGGUGCUGCACCUCAACAUGAGCAGCGCCAGCCACAUGGUGCUCUACUCGCUCAGCCUCAAGGUGGAGGACGAUUGCCAACUUACCUCCGUGGAUGAGAUCGCCACCGCGGCCCAUCAGAUCAUCGAGAAGAUCCAAGAAGAGCAAGACUUCACUUCAGCUUAG
This 1011-nucleotide ribosomal RNA is filed under the name Triticum aestivum (bread wheat). RNAcentral's name for it is "partial small subunit ribosomal RNA". Lineage: Eukaryota; Viridiplantae; Streptophyta; Magnoliopsida; Poales; Poaceae. The record is from RNAcentral.